Molecule: long non-coding RNA, 631 nt
Organism: Eucalyptus grandis
Lineage: Eukaryota; Viridiplantae; Streptophyta; Magnoliopsida; Myrtales; Myrtaceae
Exons: 4
Source: RefSeq, a predicted model, not a curated record
UCUGCUUUAUGUACUCCAAGACUUCAAGCACAGCUAGGGUUUCCAGUUGAAGACACAACACCGCCUGAACUGGUUUCGUGAAACCAUCCACGAGGCUACUGGAGAAGUCCCGGACUACGCAGGCCACGGCUCCUUCCGUCGACCCCUGGCAGAUGGAUCCAUCAACAUUAAUCUUCAAAAUCUACCACUUUGCAGGCAUCCGGCUUGGUUCCCCAAAAUAUAUAGUUGUUUCGCUCCUUCCAAACCUGCCAUAGGAUGUUUGAGAUCAUUUCCAAAGAAGUUGUAGGUUGAUUUCCGGGUGGCUCCAUACUCGUGCGGUCCAGGGGCAAAGAAGAUGGAUAUGUUCGACCGUUUCCAUACUCUCACGGCAAAGAUCGCAUACUGGAUCAGGUUCAGCAUUACUCACCAUUAAGAGAGGACUAUGGUCAGACCCAACAACCGGGAGAGGAUAUGCUUCUGCUUCCGGGAACAUUAGCCUCCAAUUUAGAGAACAAAAAACCCAAUCCAGUUUCUCCUUAACCAAAUUAGUCCAUUCUCUGUUAUUUGACCAAGUAAAAGCACACCAUUUGCAAUCAAUUUCCAUUAGCGAACAAUCAUUUAAGCAAUUUUGGAAGGCUUACAUUCUAUAAGU